RNAcentral lists this ribosomal RNA (1199 nucleotides) under metagenome. RNAcentral's name for it is "bacterial SSU rRNA". It matches the Rfam family "Bacterial small subunit ribosomal RNA", at positions 316 to 1498 of the family's 1533-position model. The record is from RNAcentral.
GGACUGAGACACUGCCCAGACUCCUACGGGAGGCUGCAGUCGAGGAUCAUUCACAAUGCGCGAAAGCGUGAUGAUGCGACGCUGCGUGGAGGAUGAAGGCCCUUGGGUCGUAAACUCCUGUCAUGCGGGAAAAAUUGUUCGUGUGUUAAUAACACUCGGACUUGAUGGUACCGCAAGAGGAAGCCACGGCUAACUCUGUGCCAGCAGCCGCGGUAAUACAGAGGUGGCAAGCGUUGUUCGGAUUUACUGGGCGUAAAGCGUGCGUAGGCGGUAUCGUAUGUCGGGUGUGAAAGCCCACGGCCCAACCGUGGAACUGCAUCCGAAACUACGGAACUAGAGUGCAGGAGGGGAGAGUGGAAUUCUUGGUGUAGCGGUGAAAUGCGUUGAUAUCAAGAAGAACACCGGUGGCGAAGGCGGCUCUCUGGAAUGUUACUGACGCUGAGGCACGAAAGCUGGGGGAGCGAACAGGAUUAGAUACCCUGGUAGUCCCAGCCGUAAACGGUGCGCACUUGGUGUUGGCGGUAUUGACCCCGCCAGUGCCGGAGCUAACGCGUUAAGUGCGCCGCCUGGGGAGUACGGCCGCAAGGUUAAAACUCAAAGAAAUGGACGGGGGCCCGCACAAGCGGAGGAGCAUGUGGCUUAAUUCGAUGCAACGCGAAGAACCUUACCAGGGCUUGACAUGUAACUGCUCAUCCUGUGAAAGCAGGACUCUUUCGAAGGUGUUACACAGGUGCUGCAUGGCUGUCGUCAGUUCGUGCCGUGAGGUGUUGGGUUAAGUCCCGCAACGAACGCAACCCCUGUGUCUAGUUGCCACCGGUGGUGAUGAGCCACCGAGCACUCUAGACAGACUGCCCGUGCAAGCGGGAGGAAGGUGGGGAUGAGGUCAAGUCAGUAUGGCCCUUACGCCCUGGGCUGCACACGUGCUACAAUGGUCGGUACAAAGGGAUGCAAGACCGCGAGGUGGAGCAAAUCCCCAAAGCCGGCCCCAGUUCGGAUUGGAGUCUGCAACUCGACUCCAUGAAGUCGGAUUCGCUAGUAACGGCGUAUCAGCUACGACGCCGUGAAUACGUUCCCGGGCCUUGUACACACCGCCCGUCACAUCAUGAAAGUCGUCUGCACCAGAAGUCGCUGAGCUAACCCGUAAGGGAGGCAGGUGCCGAAGGUGUGGGUGAUGAUUGGGAUGAAGUCGUAACAAGGUA